UGUCACUACCGGUACCGCGAGAAAGCCCAUUCUUUUGCUUGUUGCAAAGCCUUGGUCUUCAUAGUGUGCUUGCCUUGUCUUUGGCUUGGCUGGGGCUCCGGUUUCUUGUUCCAAAUAUUUGGGGUCCGAUCUGGGGCGAGAUACCCCAAACCUACCUUAGUUCUCUCCUUUCAACUCACAAUGGUUUUGAGAUCUCUAGUUAACCGGCGUUUGUGGUUCUGGAUUUCCUGGUCUUAUAUUCUUUGGCUUGCAUGUCUGCUCUGAGGACAAUGGGCUGAGAUCGAGGUUUGAGGCUGGUGGAGG
Molecule: long non-coding RNA, 303 nt
Filed under: Brassica napus (rape)
Lineage: Eukaryota; Viridiplantae; Streptophyta; Magnoliopsida; Brassicales; Brassicaceae
Description: long non-coding RNA (BNAP_LNC000705)
Source: RNAcentral